This 477-nucleotide ribosomal RNA is filed under the name uncultured bacterium. Its description in RNAcentral is "partial 16S ribosomal RNA". It matches the Rfam family "Bacterial small subunit ribosomal RNA", at positions 28 to 507 of the family's 1533-position model. The record is from RNAcentral.
GAUGAACGCUGGCGGCGUGCCUAAUACAUGCAAGUCGAGCGAACAGACGAGGAGCUUGCUCCUCUGACGUUAGCGGUGGACGGGUGAGUAACACGUGGAUAACCUACCUAUAAGACUGGGAUAACUUCGGGAAACCGGAGCUAAUACCGGAUAACAUGCUGAACCACAUGGUUCAACAGUGAAAGACGGUCUUGCUGUCGCUGGUGGAUGCAUUCGAGCUUCAUUAGCUAGUGGGUAGGGUAACGGCUUACCAAGGCAAUGACGGGUAGCCGGACUGAGAGGGUGACAGGCCAGAUUGGGAAUGAGAUACGGCCCAGACUCCUACGGGAGGCAGCAGUGGGGAAUAUUGCACAAUGGGCGGAAGCCUGAUGCAGCAAAGCCGCGUGCGGGAUGACGACCUUCGGGUUGUAAACCGCCUUCGCCUGUGACGAAGCGUGAGUGACGGUAAUGGGUAAAGAAGCACCGGCUAACUACGUG